Molecule: transfer RNA, 90 nt
Filed under: Roseiterribacter gracilis
Lineage: Bacteria; Pseudomonadati; Pseudomonadota; Alphaproteobacteria; Rhodospirillales; Roseiterribacteraceae
Description: tRNA-Ser
Rfam family: tRNA
About the family: Transfer RNA (tRNA) molecules are approximately 80 nucleotides in length. Their secondary structure includes four short double-helical elements and three loops (D, anti-codon, and T loops).
Source: RNAcentral
GGAGGGGUGGCCGAGUGGCUGAAGGCGCCGGUUUGCUAAACCGGUUUACGGGAAACCGUAACGUGGGUUCGAAUCCCAUCCCCUCCGCCA